GCCAGCAGCCAUAUCACCCUGCAACUCAAUCCACUGGAGCUAAGCAGGUGUGAGCCUGCUCAGUACCUGGAUGGGAGACCUCCUGGGGAAAAUAAGGUGGCUGCUGGAA
RNAcentral lists this ribosomal RNA (109 nucleotides) under Lepisosteus oculatus (spotted gar). Lineage: Eukaryota; Metazoa; Chordata; Actinopteri; Semionotiformes; Lepisosteidae. The record is from RNAcentral.